RNAcentral lists this ribosomal RNA (467 nucleotides) under uncultured bacterium. RNAcentral's name for it is "partial 16S ribosomal RNA". It matches the Rfam family "Bacterial small subunit ribosomal RNA", at positions 28 to 507 of the family's 1533-position model. The record is from RNAcentral.
GACGAACGCUGGCGGCGUGCUUAACACAUGCCAGUCGAACGGAAAGGCCCUGCUUUUGUGGGUGCUCGAGUGGCGAACGGGUGAGUAACACGUGAGUAACCUGCACUUGACUUUGGGAUAACUUCAGGAAACUGGGGCUAAUACCGGAUAGGAGCUCCUGCUGCAUGGUGGGGGUUGGAAAGUUUCGGCGGUUGGGGAUGGACUCGCGGCUUAUCAGCUUGUUGGUGGGGUGGUGGCUUACCAAGGCUUUGACGGGUAGGCGGCCUGAGAGGGUGACCGGCCACAUUGGGACUGAGAUACGGCCCAGACUCCUACGGGAGGCAGCAGUGGGGAAUAUUGCACAAUGGGCGGAAGGCUGAUGCAGCAGCGCCGCGUGCGGGAUGACGGCCUUCGGGUUGUAGACCGCUUUCGCCUGAGACGAAGCGUGAGUGACGGUAAUGGGUAAAGAAGCACCGGCUAACUACGUG